GGGUUGUGAGGUUAAGCGACUAAGCGUACACGGUGGAUGCCCUGGCAGUCAGAGGCGAUGAAGGGCGUGCUAAUCUGCGAUAAGCGCCGGUAAGGUGAUAUGAACCGUUAUAACCGGCGAUACCCGAAUGGGGAAACCCAGUGUGAUUCGUCACACUAUCAUUAACUGAAUCCAUAGGUUAAUGAGGCGAACCGGGGGAACUGAAACAUCUAAGUACCCCGAGGAAAAGAAAUCAACCGAGAUUCCCCCAGUAGCGGCGAGCGAACGGGGAGGAGCCCAGAGCCUGAAUCAGCAUGUGUGUUAGUGGAAGCGUCUGGAAAGGCGCGCGAUACAGGGUGACAGCCCCGUACACAAAAGCGCAUGUGCUGUGAGCUCGAUGAGUAGGGCGGGACACGUGGUAUCCUGUCUGAAUAUGGGGGGACCAUCCUCCAAGGCUAAAUACUCCUGACUGACCGAUAGUGAACCAGUACCGUGAGGGAAAGGCGAAAAGAACCCCGGCGAGGGGAGUGAAAAAGAACCUGAAACCGUGUACGUACAAGCAGUGGGAGCCCCACCACUAAGCCAGUGGUGAACUCCACAUACGCAUCCUUUGCUGAGGAUACGGUUAACGGAGCGAAAGCGACGUUCAACCUCAAAAGAAGCAGAGGGGGCUUAGUGGUGGGGUGACUGCGUACCUUUUGUAUAAUGGGUCAGCGACUUAUAUUCUGUAGCAAGGUUAACCGAAUAGGGGAGCCGGAGGGAAACCGAGUCUUAAUUGGGCGUUAAGUUGCAGGGUAUAGACCCGAAACCCGGUGAUCUAGCCAUGGGCAGGUUGAAGGUUGGGUAACACUAACUGGAGGACCGAACCGACUAAUGUUGAAAAAUUAGCGGAUGACCUGUGGCUGGGGGUGAAAGGCCAAUCAAACCGGGAGAUAGCUGGUUCUCCCCGAAAGCUAUUUAGGUAGCGCCUCGUGAACUCAUCUCCGGGGGUAGAGCACUGUUUCGGCUAGGGGGCCAUCCCGGCUUACCAACCCGAUGCAAACUGCGAAUACCGGAGAAUGUUAUCACGGGAGACACACGGCGGGUGCUAACGUCCGUCGUGAAGAGGGAAACAACCCAGACCGCCAGCUAAGGUCCCAAAGUCAUGGUUAAGUGGGAAACGAUGUGGGAAGGCCCAGACAGCCAGGAUGUUGGCUUAGAAGCAGCCAUCAUUUAAAGAAAGCGUAAUAGCUCACUGGUCGAGUCGGCCUGCGCGGAAGAUGUAACGGGGCUAAACCAUGCACCGAAGCUGCGGCAGCGAACGUAUCACCCAAGACAACUUUACGGAGUUGACGAUUGACGGAGCGAAGCGACGUCAAAGCGUUCAUUAAAGUCGAGUUGGCUUAGGGAUACGUUCGUUGGGUAGGGGAGCGUUCUGUAAGCCUGUGAAGGUGGCCUGUGAGGGUUGCUGGAGGUAUCAGAAGUGCGAAUGCUGACAUAAGUAACGAUAAAGCGGGUGAAAAGCCCGCUCGCCGGAAGACCAAGGGUUCCUGUCCAACGUUAAUCGGGGCAGGGUGAGUCGACCCCUAAGGCGAGGCCGAAAGGCGUAGUCGAUGGGAAACGGGUUAAUAUUCCCGUACUUGGUGUUACUGCGAAGGGGGGACGGAGAAGGCUAUGUUGGCCGGGCGACGGUUGUCCCGGUUUAAGCGUGUAGGCUGGUUUUCCAGGCAAAUCCGGAAAAUCAAGGCUGAGGCGUGACGACGAGGCACUACGGUGCUGAAGCAACAAAUGCCCUGCUUCCAGGAAAAGCCUCUAAGCAUCAGGUAACAUCAAAUCGUACCCCAAACCGACACAGGUGGUCAGGUAGAGAAUACCAAGGCGCUUGAGAGAACUCGGGUGAAGGAACUAGGCAAAAUGGUGCCGUAACUUCGGGAGAAGGCACGCUGACAUGUAGGUGAAGUGAUUUACUCAUGGAGCUGAAGUCAGUCGAAGAUACCAGCUGGCUGCAACUGUUUAUUAAAAACACAGCACUGUGCAAACACGAAAGUGGACGUAUACGGUGUGACGCCUGCCCGGUGCCGGAAGGUUAAUUGAUGGGGUCAGCGCAAGCGAAGCUCCUGAUCGAAGCCCCGGUAAACGGCGGCCGUAACUAUAACGGUCCUAAGGUAGCGAAAUUCCUUGUCGGGUAAGUUCCGACCUGCACGAAUGGCGUAAUGAUGGCCAGGCUGUCUCCACCCGAGACUCAGUGAAAUUGAACUCGCUGUGAAGAUGCAGUGUACCCGCGGCAAGACGGAAAGACCCCGUGAACCUUUACUAUAGCUUGACACUGAACAUUGAGCCUUGAUGUGUAGGAUAGGUGGGAGGCUUUGAAGUGUGGACGCCAGUCUGCAUGGAGCCGACCUUGAAAUACCACCCUUUAAUGUUUGAUGUUCUAACGUGGACCCGUUACCCGGGUUGCGGACAGUGUCUGGUGGGUAGUUUGACUGGGGCGGUCUCCUCCUAAAGAGUAACGGAGGAGCACGAAGGUUGGCUAAUCCUGGUCGGACAUCAGGAGGUUAGUGCAAUGGCAUAAGCCAGCUUGACUGCGAGCGUGACGGCGCGAGCAGGUGCGAAAGCAGGUCAUAGUGAUCCGGUGGUUCUGAAUGGAAGGGCCAUCGCUCAACGGAUAAAAGGUACUCCGGGGAUAACAGGCUGAUACCGCCCAAGAGUUCAUAUCGACGGCGGUGUUUGGCACCUCGAUGUCGGCUCAUCACAUCCUGGGGCUGAAGUAGGUCCCAAGGGUAUGGCUGUUCGCCAUUUAAAGUGGUACGCGAGCUGGGUUUAGAACGUCGUGAGACAGUUCGGUCCCUAUCUGCCGUGGGCGCUGGAGAACUGAGGGGGGCUGCUCCUAGUACGAGAGGACCGGAGUGGACGCAUCACUGGUGUUCGGGUUGUCAUGCCAAUGGCACUGCCCGGUAGCUAAAUGCGGAAGAGAUAAGUGCUGAAAGCAUCUAAGCACGAAACUUGCCCCGAGAUGAGUUCUCCCUGAGACUUAGAGUCUCCUGAAGGAACGUUGAAGACGACGACGUUGAUAGGCCGGGUGUGUAAGCGCAGCGAUGCGUUGAGCUAACCGGUACUAAUGAACCGUGAGGCUUAACCUUACAACGCCGAAG
Molecule: ribosomal RNA, 3110 nt
Filed under: Salmonella enterica subsp. enterica
Lineage: Bacteria; Pseudomonadati; Pseudomonadota; Gammaproteobacteria; Enterobacterales; Enterobacteriaceae
Also listed under: 3 other names
Description: bacterial LSU rRNA
Rfam family: Bacterial large subunit ribosomal RNA
Source: RNAcentral